UGAUGACAUUAGGGGAGCCGUUUGGCUGAGAUGCAUGAACAUGAUGCGAACCCUUCGAACCUGAUCUGGUUAACGCCAGCGAAGGAAAUUGUCGGGAGGCCUCC
The sequence is a regulatory RNA element, 104 nucleotides long. It matches the Rfam family "TPP riboswitch aptamer (THI element)". Rfam says of the family: Vitamin B(1) in its active form thiamin pyrophosphate (TPP) is an essential coenzyme that is synthesised by coupling of pyrimidine and thiazole moieties in bacteria. The record is from Rfam.